RNAcentral lists this ribosomal RNA (230 nucleotides) under uncultured bacterium. RNAcentral's name for it is "partial 16S ribosomal RNA". It matches the Rfam family "Bacterial small subunit ribosomal RNA", at positions 565 to 791 of the family's 1533-position model. The record is from RNAcentral.
GCGUGCGCAGGCGGUUAUAUAAGACAGAUGUGAAAUCCCGGGCUCAACCUGGGAACUGCAUUUGUGACUGUAUAGCUGGAGUGCGGCAGAGGGGAUGGAAUUCCGCGUGUAGCAGUGAAAUGCGUAGAUAUGCGGAGGAACACCGAUGGCGAAGGCAAUCCCCUGGGCCUGCACUGACGCUCAUGCACGAAAGCGUGGGGAGCAAACAGGAUUACCCCCGAUACCCGGGU